Molecule: ribosomal RNA, 497 nt
Filed under: uncultured bacterium
Lineage: Bacteria
Description: partial 16S ribosomal RNA
Rfam family: Bacterial small subunit ribosomal RNA
Source: RNAcentral
GACGAACGCUGGCGGCGUGCCUAAUACAUGCAAGUCGAACGAGAGCAACCGGUGCUUGCACUGGUCAAUCUAGUGGCGAACGGGUGAGUAACACGUGGGUAACCUGCCCAUCAGAGGGGGAUAACAUCCGGAAACGGAUGCUAAAACCGCAUAGGUCUUCGAACCGCAUGGUUUGAAGAGGAAAAGAGGCGCAAGCUUCUGCUGAUGGAUGGACCCGCGGUGCAUUAGCUAGUUGGUGAGGUAACGGCUCACCAAGGCCGUGAUGCAUAGCCGACCUGAGAGGGUAAUCGGCCACAUUGGGACUGAGACACGGCCCAAACUCCUACGGGAGGCAGCAGUAGGGAAUCUUCCGCAAUGGACGCAAGUCUGACGGAGCAACGCCGCGUGAGUGAAGAAGGUUUUCGGAUCGUAAAACUCUGUUGUUAGAGAAGAACAAGUGCUAGAGUAACUGUUAGCGCCUUGACGGUAUCUAACCAGAAAGCCACGGCUAACUACGU